CGCGAGGUAGAGCAGCUGGAAGCUCGCCGGGUUCAUACUCCGGAGGUCGCGGGUUCGAGUCCCGCCCUCGCAA
RNAcentral lists this transfer RNA (73 nucleotides) under Pseudomonas phage PaMx74. It matches the Rfam family "tRNA". Rfam says of the family: Transfer RNA (tRNA) molecules are approximately 80 nucleotides in length. Lineage: Duplodnaviria; Heunggongvirae; Uroviricota; Caudoviricetes; Mesyanzhinovviridae. The record is from Rfam by way of RNAcentral.